UUUGGACACAGUCAACAGAAGUUUUGAGCAACACAAUACCUCUCAAAUGCAGUCCCUGACACUAUAGUGGAGGCACUAUCAGGGAAGUCUUAAUUAAAAAUUCCCAGGCCCCACCCACCCCACACUCACUGCAUCAUAAACAACCGUGGUGCUCCAGUAAUCUGUCUACCAGCUUUUCUAAAGUGACAGUGAUGUUUGAGAACCACUCUACAGAAAGACUAACAGAAAGGAAGUUCAUUGAGAAAUAGUCAGCAAAAAGUUCUUGUAUUUUUGUUUCAGAAGAAAAAUUAGAUGAAAAAAAAGCUUCUGUGAGAAAAUAAAUGGUAAAUUGCAAGAUGUACUCUCAGCAUUAUUUCUAGUCACAUGAAUUUGGACAUUUAAUCUUGGAUAUGAUCAUCAGUAAAAACAAUAUUAGCCUAUACCUGCUUUCCACUGGGUUGAGAAAAUAACUUUUUGAAAAAACAUUCUGAAAGUGGUAAAAUGCAAAAUAACACUUUUGUACUUGCAGCUACAAACUGAUGAUUGCUUUGGUUGGUCAAGUUAGCCCCCUAAAAUGCACAGAGAACCAAAAAAAAAAAAGGAAUUUGACUUCAUUGUGUGCACUCCAUUAGCACUCUGUUUGACUUAAUUCUGCUCAGUGCAUUAAGCUGGAGAAUAUCUUCACUAUCAAGGUUAAAGUUCAUGCCCCUCUCCUAUUUAAUACCUUCUUUGCCAGGGUCUGGUGUUCCAUGUGACUUCAGGACCCUGGACUUUGUACCCUACCAAAUGACCUAUCUCCUGCACUCCAGACCAAAUCUAGUUAAUCUUCCCAAAUUCUCUAUGAAAAUCUUAGCUGAAACUGGUAUGUCAACUAAUUAUGGAGACCUCUGCCUAUUGUUUUUCAGUGUUUUAAACUUUUUUGCCCUUAUUUUGUCCAAUAAGAUAUUUUAUUUUAAAACUCUUAAGGCUGGGAAAUGGCAUAGUGAUGAUUAUGAAAAAAAAAAAAACUUUUUCUUUCCUGAAGCAGCAAAAGUCCCUGGUUGAAUUCCCAGUACCACUGAGAGAGCUGAACUGUGCUAUGGUUAAAAAAAGAAGAAGAAGAGGAAAGAAA
Erinaceus europaeus (western European hedgehog) is the source of this 1090-nucleotide long non-coding RNA. RefSeq lists it as uncharacterized. The record is from RefSeq and is a predicted model, not a curated record. The transcript has 2 exons. NCBI's taxonomy places the organism in Eukaryota, Metazoa, Chordata, Mammalia, Eulipotyphla, Erinaceidae.